Molecule: ribosomal RNA, 497 nt
Filed under: uncultured bacterium
Lineage: Bacteria
Description: partial 16S ribosomal RNA
Rfam family: Bacterial small subunit ribosomal RNA
Source: RNAcentral
GAUGAACGCUGGCGGCGUGCCUAAUACAUGCAAGUCGAGCGAACAGAUGAGGAGCUUGCUCCUCUGACGUUAGCGGCGGACGGGUGAGUAACACGGGGAUAACCUACCUAGAAGACUGGGAUAACUUCGGGAAACCGGAGCUAAUACCGGAUAAUAUAUUGAACCGCAUGGUUCAAUAGUGAAAGACGGUUUUGCUGUCACUUAUAGAUGGAUCCGCGCCGCAUUAGCUAGUUGGUAAGGUAACGGCUUACCAAGGCAACGAUGCGUAGCCGACCUGAGAGGGUGAUCGGCCACACUGGCACUGAGACACGGUCCACACUCCUACGGGAGGCAGCAGUAGGGAAUCUUCCGCAAUGGGCGAAAGCCUGACGGAGCAACGCCGCGUGAGUGAUGAAGGUCUUCGGCUCGUAAAACUCUGUUAUUAGGGAAGAACAAAUGUGUAAGUAAAUAUGCACGUCUUGACGGUACCUAAUCAGAAAGCCACGGCUAACUACGUG